AAUAUUUUUGCAAUCAAUCUUUUUUCGUUUUUGCAAAUCAAUGUUUUAUGAGGCAAACACGAAAUAUUUAAGAUUAUGCAGCUACAAUAUUGUUUUCUUUUAAAUAUGUAAAAAUUCAAAGUUCGUUUUAGAUAAUGCUUCGGAAAAAUGAUGGCUCAACAAUGCUCAUGGUAGCAUAUUCUGCUGGGAUUGCGCUUUAUCAGCUUUUGCCGUUCAUGAUUUUGCCGAAACUGAAGGAGUUGGUGACUUAUAUAAAUAAUUGGAUGAUUUAUGAAGUAAGAACAGAAUCAGUGCGUGCCACAAAGUUUACAUGGUGUGUAUUUUGGUUGCAGAGAGAACUCGAAUCUAAAUUAGGAGAAACAUUUAGCUCAUCAAAGCUAUCAAUGAGCAAGAAGAUCAAAUGUUUUUAUCUUUUUGGCUCAGCCUUUGUGUUCAUUAAUAUACUAGUCGACUUUCUUGUGCAUGCCUCCCCACCUAAAUUUGAUCAUCUCUUACAUGGAUUAGGACUGUAUUUUGUUUCAUUUGUAAUUUGCUUUUGGAUAAUUUCUUGUCGAUAUAUUUGCAUCGUGUCACAAAUUCUUCUUAGGACUUUGGAGAAAUCGGAGAUACUAAACGUGGCAUUCCCAAACAAGAGAACGGAAAAAUCAAUUCUCGGGCUUCGUAAUUUAUGGUUCUGUCUAAUUAGUGAUUUGGCUGCUCCACUAGGUAACAGUUUCUCCUAUGCAUGUGGGAUCGUAAUCGUGAACACCGUUGUGAAUAUAACAUAUUUUACACUACAAUUCGUAACAGUGUAUUCAAAAUUUGAAGAUGCAGGUUCAAGCAACUUCUAUCUUAUUUUCCUGGUACUUUUUUGUUCUCAACUCGUCAUCAUAUUUGUUGAAGCGGAAAAGGCACGGAUAACUGUAACUACAUCAAAGGAACAUAUUUUCAAUUUAAAAUCACGCAAUGGGCAAUUUCAGGUAUUAAACUGCCUUCAAGCAUCCAUUGAACAGACAACUUUCCUCAACACCAGAAAGCAGACGAAAAAAUUCGUAAAAAAUCUAUA
Long non-coding RNA from Cloeon dipterum, 1045 nucleotides. RefSeq lists it as uncharacterized. The record is from RefSeq and is a predicted model, not a curated record. Lineage: Eukaryota; Metazoa; Arthropoda; Insecta; Ephemeroptera; Baetidae. The transcript is spliced from 3 exons.